CCAUGCAAAUAACAAGACAACCCAAAACCCAAAUUUUAACUUGAUCCGCAACCUUCGGUGCUCUCUCACUCGCAGAAAUUCAGAAUCCCUCUUCUCCGCCACCACCACAUUUUCGCUCCGCCGUCUCAGUUUCCCGCGAAGCCACCGCCCAGGAGCAGCCCCAAGUUUACCACUUCAACGUCCGAACUUCUCUUAGGUUUUGCAAGAAGCAGAAGAAGUAUGGCUUUGACAAACUUCAUACUCACAGUUGCUGGUGUAGGCGCGGUGGUUCUUAUGCUGAGGAGUGAUGUCAGGCAAUCAGCUUCCAUCUUCAAGCGCAAUGUCAAACACAUCCGCACCUGGCUUGAGGAAGAAUCCCCCAAAGUCACCAAGGAACUGGAAUCAAAGGUUCCACCAAAGGAUAUUCCCAAGGACAAGCACUAGUGUUGAUACCAGCUUCUUAUGUUGUUCGCAACAAGUGACUACUCGCUAGUAACACUCAAAGAUGCCGCAGUUGUGACUUGACCAAGAUAUUCAGUCACCAGCAGAAGAAAUUCUUCCAUCCGAAACCUGGAGGUGGUAGUCCAAGGUGCGACGGACACAUGGUCCAGAUGCCCGACCUAAGACUUUCUCCACCAGCAGAUAUUACCAAAAUGAGAAAAGUACAAUAGGUAGAUAGGUAGAUUCAGAAGUGGCCAAUAAUUGGUAAAGUGUGUUAUAAGAGAACACGAGUACGAUUUUGGCAGCGUUAGUUUGGCAAGAAAACAUGCCCCCGUUGGUUAUAGAUGGUAUAUGAGUGGCCUGAUGCUGUUCAUAUAAAAAUAAUUUUUUACAUAACUAUAAUUCGAGACGAUACUAUAUAUAGCUUUUUUCGGUUUGAGAUAAUA
RNA transcript from Pyrus x bretschneideri (Chinese white pear), 866 nucleotides. RefSeq lists it as uncharacterized. NCBI's taxonomy places the organism in Eukaryota, Viridiplantae, Streptophyta, Magnoliopsida, Rosales, Rosaceae. The record is from RefSeq and is a predicted model, not a curated record. The transcript is spliced from 5 exons.